CCCGCAGAAGUUUGAUCAUGGCUCAGGACGAACGCUGGCGGCGUGCUUAACACAUGCAAGUCGAACGAUGAAGCCCUUCGGGGUGGAUUAGUGGCGAACGGGUGAGUAACACGUGGGCAAUCUGCCCUGCACUCUGGGACAAGCCCUGGAAACGGGGUCUAAUACCGGAUAYGACCUUCGAAGGCAUCUUUGAAGGUGGAAAGCUCCGGCGGUGCAGGAUGAGCCCGCGGCCUAUCAGCUUGUUGGUGGGGUGAUGGCCUACCAAGGCGACGACGGGUAGCCGGCCUGAGAGGGCGACCGGCCACACUGGGACUGAGACACGGCCCAGACUCCUACGGGAGGCAGCAGUGGGGAAUAUUGCACAAUGGGCGAAAGCCUGAUGCAGCGACGCCGCGUGAGGGAUGACGGCCUUCGGGUUGUAAACCUCUUUCAGCAGGGAAGAAGCGAGAGUGACGGUACCUGCAGAAGAAGCGCCGGCUAACUACGUGCCAGCAGCCGCGGUAAUMCGUAGGGCGCAAGCGUUGUCCGGAAUUAUUGGGCGUAAAGAGCUCGUAGGCGGCUUGUCGCGUCGGAUGUGAAAGCCCGGGGCUUAACCCCGGGUCUGCAUUCGAUACGGGCAGGCUAGAGUUCGGUAGGGGAGAUCGGAAUURCUGGUGUAGCGGUGAAAUGCGCAGAUAUCAGGAGGAACACCGGUGGCGAAGGCGGAUCUCUGGGCCGAUACUGACGCUGAGGAGCGAAAGCGUGGGGAGCGAACAGGAUUAGAUACCCUGGUAGUCCACGCCGUAAACGUUGGGAACUAGGUGUGGGCGACAUUCCACGUCGUCCGUGCCGCAGCCUAACGGCCMAUUWAC
Molecule: ribosomal RNA, 851 nt
Filed under: Streptomyces sp.
Lineage: Bacteria; Bacillati; Actinomycetota; Actinomycetes; Kitasatosporales; Streptomycetaceae
Description: bacterial SSU rRNA
Source: RNAcentral